CAGAUGUGGAUAGCUGGACCCUCCUGGGUGCCUCUGCGUUAUGUCGUUUGGUUGAUGCAUUUGGAGAGAAUCUGUGCUCUCCACAACUGCAGGGGCAACAUGCUUUCCUGGCCUCUUCAGAUCAGGGUGGCUGUUCUUGGGUGCUGCACCAAAACUCCAGCAGUGGGCUUUCUUCAAGUGGCCGGCUCACCUCAUUCCUGCCAAGACCCAGGUCCGUGUUCUCACAGUGCUGCCAUCUUUCCUCCGUGUGAGCGUGGGCUGUGCGGAGAGUGGACCUCGGUGUGUGCGGGGCUGCGUGCACUGCCAUCGCUCCCUCUACACGAGCCGGCGUGGACCCAGGGCUGAGCUGUGACCACGAGGGCCAUCCCGACGAGCCGCCAUGGACCCAGGGCUGAGCUGUGACCAUGAGGGCUAUCCCGACGAGCUGCCGUGGACCCAGGGCUGAGCCGUGACCAUGAGGGCCAUCCCGAAACUGUGAUUGUUUUCUGGUAUGUGGGGGAUGUGCCAGAACCAGGGCUGAGCUGUGACCACGAGGGCCAUCCCGGAGCUGUGAUUGUUUUCUGAUGAAGAAACCAAGGCUUUGUGACUAACUCAACCCCUCAAGAAGGACAAAACUAGCAUCAGAGCCCCUUGCUCCUGGGUCUGGCAAGAAUGCCUCUUGUUUGCUGAGAGGUCCACAGAUUUACCCGGCUCAAGACUGGGAGAUGGGAGGUGACCAGGUCAGUGCCAGCCUCUCUCUGAGCUCCUCUGAGUCGUGGCAGCUGAGGUGCUCCUCCGAGAAUGUUCUGCCAUCCGUGAGGUCGUGUACGCCUGGAAGCUUUUGUUCCAUUGAACUCUGCCAGGGAGCUAUACUUAGCCACGCGAGUGGAGGCCAGGAGUGGGUUCUCUGAAUAUAGAUAGUAGCAAGCAGGCUAUUUUCAAACACCUAGAGAACCCCCAUGAUUAUUCUGGGCCAAAAUGAUAUUUAUAGGAUGCUCUGGGCCCUUGGACAUGAAGGCAAUAACCUUAGCGCCUUUUGGCGUUCGGGAUAAGUUUCUAUCAACGGGGAGUGGAGAGAGGGACCCGGUCACCCAGAGGCCCGCUGUCCCUCAACACCUGUUUCCAGGAGGCCAGGCGUCUUCUUUGCUUUUACACUAUGAGUCAGAGAACAGCGAGAGGCACGCAGGGCCCUACUAAUUUUCCUUCCUGCACACCCUGGUGUGGGUCCUGUCUGAGGCCUGCCGUGUGCUAUUAGGGAAGACGUCAUCAGGGGACUUUUUCUGCUGUGAGGAGGGUGCAGCCCCUGCCUUUCAGAGCUCAGGACACCCUCUUCCUCUUGUCCAGGAUCCUCAGGGAUUUCCUAGGCUUCCACCCUCACCCAGACAUCACUGGACCGUCACUGAAACACCCGCUUCCAGUGUGCUCAGGUCCUGCAGCCUCCUGUCCAUCCUUGCCCCGCCUCCCGCCCGGAGGAAAGACUCUGACACUGCCCCUGGAAGAGGGAGGAGAGUGGAUGUGAUGAGUGAAGAUUUGGGUGGGGAAAGGAAGGCCUGAGUCCUGGGAGGAAGAGCUCUCCCCGCCCCGAGCCCCCGGAGACUGUGAGCAAGGCUGAGACGCCUCCUUCCUGGUGCUCAAGCUGCAGGUGUUGGAUAGGCCUCCAGAAGCCCAGAUUUUAAAUGACCGCUCCAGGUUAACCUGGGGAUGGUCAGGCAGAACAAGGAGGAGAGGCCAGCAGUGAAGGGCAGGGCUGGUGGGCAGUGGCUGGGGGUGUCCUGGGUGGGGCUGGCCACCCUCGCUGCCUCUGACUUGGGCCAGACCUGCGUUAAGUGGAGUGGCUCCUCCAUUCUUUACACCCCAGGCCCCUGGCAGGUGCCCUGCC
This 1858-nucleotide long non-coding RNA is filed under the name Homo sapiens (human). RNAcentral describes it as "non-protein coding SNAI3-AS1:10". The record is from RNAcentral. Lineage: Eukaryota; Metazoa; Chordata; Mammalia; Primates; Hominidae.